This 2132-nucleotide unclassified non-coding RNA is filed under the name Drosophila ananassae. RNAcentral describes it as "GF23399". Lineage: Eukaryota; Metazoa; Arthropoda; Insecta; Diptera; Drosophilidae. The record is from RNAcentral.
GAAUGGUGGGCACACUAAGAAGUCUCUUAAAAUGGCGAUUGUUACCGAUAUUAGAAGUCUAAAAUAAAUUAACAUUUUCAUGUACAAAUCUUCAAUUAGGAAACUUACUAUAAAGAAAAUUAUCUAAAAUAUAAGCGUGAGCUUGUAAUAUUUACUUUUAAGAAGCAAAAUAUAUGUUAAAGUUUGGACUAUCCUGGUGUUUGGAUUUAAGAAGCGUGACAAACCGGAAAAUAUAAAUGAACCAAUACCAAAUUCAGCAGCUAACUUCCCACCUAUCUCAGGCUCUUGACCAAAACUAUGAUGUCAUUAAUAUGGAUGCAGUUCUUUCUGUCAUAUGUGCUUUGGAAGGCACGAAAAUUACGAAGGAACAAUUGGAGGCCACCAGACUGGCGAAAUAUAUUAAUCAAUUAAGGCGGAGAACUACAAAUGAGCAUCUAGCGCGUCGUGCCAAGUCACUUUUAAAAAAGUGGCGAGAAAUGGUGGGAAUUCAACAAACAACUUUUGAUUCUCAGCAACAGCUUCAGACACAAUCAAUAGAAUUUUUAAAAUCGACAACGUCUACACCACAUUUUGAUGAGAUUGUUUCUCUUUUGCCAAUUUCAUCCUCAUUACCGUCGCAGGAAAUUUUCUCAGAUAUUCAUUUGAAUAUUGACCGGUCUGAAACUCCAUCACUUUCUGUAAAUUCGCAGGCUCAUUCAAACUUAUCAAGCCCUCAUCAUAAUAAUAUUAACGAUUUGAAUCGAAGAGAAAAUAAUUCAACAAAUUCUGUGCACAGUUACAAUCGGCUAUCACAAAACAUGUCAAGCGGACCCGUUAAUCCGCCACAGCAGCAUUUGAUUAAUCAAUCCUUGAACACUAUUUCUAACAAGUGCGAUGUGAGCAAAAAAAAGUUGAACGAAGUUUCUGUUGUUAUUGACAUAGUCUCAGACUCGGAUGACAAUGACAAUAAUAGUUCGAAACUUGUUAGAUCUGAUAUUUCUGAGCCAUCAUUACUUAUGAUCCCAUCAACGCCGAGUCCACGUUUGAAAAAAAAUAGGAAAGACAAAAAGAAUGACCCUAUACUACAUAGACCAAAUAAGAAAAUUAGCAAAAAAAAUAAAGAUGGAUUUUUACACACUACUCCCGCAGAUUCAGAGGUGUAUUCAACAUCAAACAGUUCCAUGAGCUCAAUUUUAUCAGGAGAUACCACAUUUGGAAACUCAGGCAGUAAAACACGGUCAAACUCAAGUGAAUUAACGUUUAGUGGUAGAUUCAAGUCAAUAAAUCAAGUGGAAGUUUUAAGUCAGAAUAACUUUACCCUAUUUUCUGGAAACAAUAAUGCUUCAACCCAUAUAAAUGAACUUGAUAAACCAUUGUUUGAAGAUUAUAAUACAUAUGACUCGAGUGCAUCUUGUAGCCGCUUUUCCUCUAGCGUCGAUCAAGGAAAAUCAGAGAAAAUCGCUCUUCAAAUACACAGGCCCGUUGACGCUCAAUGUCCGGUUUUAAAAAAGACUGAAUUAUUCCAUAAAGCUUCCGACUCACAUGGCUACAAAAAACGUGGUCGUAAAAAGGGAUCUAGAGGUGUUGAUGCUGUAAUUUCUAAAGAGUCGUCUAGCUUGUGCCAGCAAAUCUUCUUAGGCAGCUCGACAGUAAAUAAAGUCAAGACGACAAAGGAACUUUUUAAUGAAAUCCAGAGCAGAAAAUUAACUGCUUCGCACUCUUCAACAUUUCGUGACAAGACAAAAUGUGCUCGCUUAAAAAGACGAACGUCAUCAUGUUCGGAAGCAUCAAUACUUUCACCAAAUUUAAUGGAAAAUUACUCUGGCAACGUAACUCUAAUGGAUAUUGAUACAUUUUCAAAAAAAAUUCGUGAACGCAGUGGAUGGAAUUAUUAUUUUGCCACAUCAUUCAAUCAGUCGAAGCGUCGCUUUCGCACACGCAAUUCUAGAUUCAAAAUACGAUUUGUUAUUUAGGUUUUGAAAUGUGCAAAGAAUUUAACAGCGGACACUGCUUGAGGAACUUUCAGAACGCAGUUGAUGGGAUUAUCAUUUUGCCACACACAUUCAAUCAGUCGAAGAACCACUUUCGCACACGCAAUUCUAGAUUUAAAAUACGAUUUGUUAUUUAGGUUUGUAUCUGUUCAAAUUUUAGUA